AGAUUGAUGAGAGCAAAAUUACCGAAAAUACAGCAUGUUGAAUAUUUCUACAGUUGACACGCUUUGCAGCAGCUUCACACCAGUAAGCUCGAGCGUAGUGAGAAACGUUCAACAGCUCCUCUUCUCUUUUGUACACAUGAAAAAUGAAUGAAUGGGAAAAGAAAAGUGUUUUUGAAGUGUAUAAAAAUAUUGAAUUCCUGCUGACAGCUUUCAGCUUACAAAGCCAUCUUUAGAGCUAUAGUCAAAAACCAUAAAGUACUAAAGAAGUA
Long non-coding RNA from Diabrotica virgifera virgifera (western corn rootworm), 269 nucleotides. RefSeq lists it as uncharacterized. The record is from RefSeq and is a predicted model, not a curated record. The transcript has 2 exons. NCBI's taxonomy places the organism in Eukaryota, Metazoa, Arthropoda, Insecta, Coleoptera, Chrysomelidae.